AGCGAGAAUUCCCACAUUCUUUGCCAUUUCUCUACGCCUCUCCAAUUCCUCCUCGACACAACAGCCGCAAAACUAAAAGAAAUCAAAUGGAAAAAAAAACAGAAGCAGGCAGGAAGCAGCAGCUGCAAUUCUCUCUUUUGUACAGAGAUUUAAAAAAGUUUCAGGAAAAAAAAUGAAACUAAAUUGAGAAGAGAAACUGUGAAUUAAGGAGAGGGGUCCCUGGAAGCAGCAAGGAGAGAAAAAGAGAG
RNAcentral lists this unclassified non-coding RNA (248 nucleotides) under Hevea brasiliensis (rubber tree). Lineage: Eukaryota; Viridiplantae; Streptophyta; Magnoliopsida; Malpighiales; Euphorbiaceae. The record is from RNAcentral.